GGGGUUCUUUAAAGGUCUUUGACGUUAUUUUUUAUUCGUUAUAAGUAUAUUAUUAAAAAAAAAGUUCUAAUUCUUCAUUGUGUUCACAUUACUUUACUCAUAAAGUUAUUGGGUUGUUUAGGGUUUUGUGAGUUUGUUAACUUGAAUGAUGGUAAGAUUGAUUUUUUUUUUCAAAUUCUUUUCAUGGCCUUCCCUAUUUUUCAAUGUCCAUGCAAACCAUACAUAGUGUGUUGAUUUAGGAGGGUGAAAAAUGAGGUAACAAUUUUUUAGCAUCUACUUGUGGUAUUGUUAAUUUUUAUUUUCUUCCAUUUUAGGCUCUUUCUUUUUCUUACAUUUUUUAAAUUAUUUUAUUAAUAUUUUCAUUGAAAAAAAAGAGAAAAUUCUGCAGAUCAAGUACCAAUAAUAAGAAAUAGUUAUCCAAGAUAUGCAUAUCACCCAAAUUCAUUCCAUUUGCACGCUCCUGAAGAAUGCCCAAAAUGAAUACAUAAAUAAACAUGAAUCAAUGAAAUUUGAUUAUUCAAUAUGUUAUGAGAUUCUAAAAGACGUCGGAAUAUUUGAGUACAAGUCUCAAAAAUAAAAUUUAAAAAGCAAACUUAUUUUAGAUAGUUUAAUCAAUAAAUAGUCCAUGACAUUUUUAUACCUGCAUUUAAUGAUUCACAAGUUGAAUUGUUUUUCAAGUUGGCUAAUAUUUCUAUCUUGAAUAAAAACAUAUUCUCAUGGUGUGAAUUGACAAUUAAAAAUUUAUUGAUGAUGUGUUCAUGAUAAAUAAUAUUUUCAU
RNAcentral lists this long non-coding RNA (778 nucleotides) under Physcomitrium patens. RNAcentral's name for it is "long non-coding RNA (PPAT_LNC011871)". The record is from RNAcentral. Lineage: Eukaryota; Viridiplantae; Streptophyta; Bryopsida; Funariales; Funariaceae.